This 748-nucleotide long non-coding RNA is filed under the name Homo sapiens (human). RNAcentral's name for it is "long non-coding RNA NONHSAT091211". The record is from RNAcentral. Lineage: Eukaryota; Metazoa; Chordata; Mammalia; Primates; Hominidae.
AUCCUCGCCCGGCGCCUCACUCACCAAGGGCCGCGCCGGGGUUCUGCACUGUCACUGCGCUGCGGUUCCCCGCCUUAGGGAUUCUCACACGGUUCCACGGCUCCAGGCCCGGCGGCACCGCAGCCAUCAUGCGAGGCGGGGGGACUUACGAAAGGCGGAGCUACGCGAGAGCACGUCCAGCGACCGGAGUCUGGAACAGUUCCUCGUUCUUUCUCUGGCUCUGGAUCUGCGUCCCUGACAGUCUUAAAGAGGACAGACCUUUCAUUCAUGAGGAUGACCCUCAACUUGGCCCAGUCCAUGUUUCCUCAGACUCAAGCCUUGCAUUCCUGGCAGAAAGACUGAAGAAAUGAUGCUGUGCUCUUCUCAGUGCUUCGCGUCAGGAGGCUCUACUCUCUCAACCGGCCCCACUAUUGGGCAUCUUGAGACAAUGUUCUGCCUACACAAAAUUCUAAACUGAGAGGAGUGGCUCAGAAGCUCUACUAACAUGGAAUCACAUGUGGGUUGCAGGAGGCUGGAGACUAUCCCAGCAGCACAUGGCACAAAGCAAGAACCAGCCCCGGACAGGACGCCAUUCCAUCACAGGUGCACUCACACCCACCAGCACUCACUCAGACUGGGCCCAUUUAGACACACCGAUUCAUCCAACAUGCAUAUCUCUGGGGUGUGGAAGGAAACUGGAUUACCUGGUGAAAACCCACACAGACAUGGGGAGAACAUGCCAGCUCUACACAAACAGUGGCCUGGUGGG